CAAGUGGCUGGCUGGAUCUGGGA
RNAcentral lists this non-coding RNA (23 nucleotides) under Cricetulus griseus (Chinese hamster). The record is from RNAcentral. Lineage: Eukaryota; Metazoa; Chordata; Mammalia; Rodentia; Cricetidae.